Molecule: ribosomal RNA, 393 nt
Filed under: uncultured bacterium
Lineage: Bacteria
Description: partial 16S ribosomal RNA
Rfam family: Bacterial small subunit ribosomal RNA
Source: RNAcentral
AUACGGAGGAUGCAAGCGUUAUCCAGGUUCAUUGGGUUUAAAGGGUGCGUAGGCUGUUCGACAAGUCAGGGGUGAAAGCCCGGCGCCUAACGCCGGAACUGCCUUUGAUACUGCCGAGCUGGAAUACGGAUGCCGUGGGAGGAAUGAGUAGUGUAGCGGUGAAAUGCAUAGAUAUUACUCAGAACACCGAUUGCGAAGGCAUCUCACGAAUCCGUCAUUGACGCUGAGGCACGAAAGCGUGGGGAUCAAACAGGAUUAGAUACCCUGGUAGUCCACGCAGUAAACGAUGAUGACUAACCGUCGGCGAUACACAGUCGGUGGCCAAGCGAAAGCGAUAAGUCAUCCACCUGGGGAGUACGUUCGCAAGAAUGAAACUCAAAUGAAUUGACGGGG